CAGUAGCCGCGGUAAUACGUAGGGUGCAAGCGUUGUCCGGAAUUAUUGGGCGUAAAGAGCUCGUAGGCGGUUUGUCGCGUCUGCUGUGAAAUCCCGAGGCUCAACCUCGGGCUUGCAGUGGGUACGGGCAGACUAGAGUGCGGUAGGGGAGAUUGGAAUUCCUGGUGUAGCGGUGGAAUGCGCAGAUAUCAGGAGGAACACCGAUGGCGAAGGCAGAUCUCUGGGCCGUAACUGACGCUGAGGAGCGAAAGCGUGGGGAGCGAACAGGAUUAGAUACCCCAGUAGUCCCUGUCUCUUAUAA
This 301-nucleotide ribosomal RNA is filed under the name uncultured bacterium. RNAcentral's name for it is "partial 16S ribosomal RNA". It matches the Rfam family "Bacterial small subunit ribosomal RNA", at positions 509 to 809 of the family's 1533-position model. The record is from RNAcentral.